RNAcentral lists this ribosomal RNA (253 nucleotides) under uncultured bacterium. RNAcentral's name for it is "partial 16S ribosomal RNA". It matches the Rfam family "Bacterial small subunit ribosomal RNA", at positions 524 to 776 of the family's 1533-position model. The record is from RNAcentral.
UACGGGGGGGGUAAGCGUUGUUCGGAAUUACUGGGCGUAAAGGGCUCGUAGGCGGCCAACUAAGUCAGACGUGAAAUCCCUCAGCUUAACUGGGGAACUGCGUCUGAUACUGGAUGGCUUGGAUUUGGGAGAGGGAUGCGGAAUUCCAGGUGUAGCGGUGAAAUGCGUAGAUAUCUGGAGGAACACCCGUGGCGAAGGCGGUUCUCUGGGACGGUACUGACGCUGAGACGCGAAAGCGUGGGGAGCGAACAGG